Molecule: ribosomal RNA, 391 nt
Filed under: Chrysophyceae sp.
Lineage: Eukaryota; Chrysophyceae
Description: partial small subunit ribosomal RNA
Rfam family: Eukaryotic small subunit ribosomal RNA
Source: RNAcentral
AUUCCAGCUCCAAUAGCGUAUACUAAAGUUGUUGCAGUUAAAAAGCUCGUAGUUGAAUUUCUGGUCGUGGCGACCGGUCCGCCCCUCACGGGGUGUGCACCUGGUCUCUGCGUCCAUCCUCGGGGAGAGCGCGUCUGGCAUUCAGUUGUCGGGCGCGGGAUCCUCGUCAUUUACUGUGAGCAAAAUAGAGUGUUCAAAGCAGGCUUAGGCCGUUGAAUACAUUAGCAUGGAAUAAUAAGAUAGGACCUUGGUCUAUUUUGUUGGUUUGCAUUCCAAGGUAAUGAUUAAUAGGGAUAGUUGGGGGUAUUCGUAUUCAAUUGUCAGAGGUGAAAUUCUUGGAUUUAUGGAAGACGAACUACUGCGAAAGCAUUUACCAAGGAUGUUUUCAUUG